Long non-coding RNA from Suricata suricatta (meerkat), 241 nucleotides. RefSeq lists it as uncharacterized. NCBI's taxonomy places the organism in Eukaryota, Metazoa, Chordata, Mammalia, Carnivora, Herpestidae. The transcript is spliced from 3 exons. The record is from RefSeq and is a predicted model, not a curated record.
GGGAGAAAACGUUCUGGACUCUUGCCCAGCAGGGGGCAACAAUACACCCAAGACAAACCCAAGGGGACAGGGGUCAGCCUGUCUGAAUAAAGAAUUUUCUCUUCAGAAGAACGCUGGAGAACGGGAAACGACGGCAUCGAGGAGCUAGCCAGGAAGCGAUGAUGUUUGAAUAACCAGAUGAAGCCCACAGUUCACCUGCAAUGUAAAAAUUAAAGCAUAAAAUCUGCUCUUAACUUAAAUA